This 497-nucleotide ribosomal RNA is filed under the name uncultured bacterium. Its description in RNAcentral is "partial 16S ribosomal RNA". It matches the Rfam family "Bacterial small subunit ribosomal RNA", at positions 28 to 507 of the family's 1533-position model. The record is from RNAcentral.
GAUGAACGCUGGCGGCGUGCCUAAUACAUGCAAGUCGAGCGAACGGACGAGAAGCUUGCUUCUCUGAUGUUAGCGGCGGACGGGUGAGUAACACGUGGAUAACCUACCUAUAAGACUGGGAUAACUUCGGGAAACCGGAGCUAAUACCGGAUAAUAUUUUGAACCGCAUGGUUCAAAAGUGAAAGACGGUCUUGCUGUCACUUAUAGAUGGAUCCGCGCUGCAUUAGCUAGUUGGUAAGGUAACGGCUUACCAAGGCAACGAGGCAUAGCCGACCGGAGAGGGUGAUCGGCGACACUGGAGCUGAGACGCGGUCCAGACUCCUGCGGGAGGCAGCAGUAGGGAAUCUUCCGCAAUGGGCGAAAGCCUGACGGAGCAGCGCCGCGUGAGUGAUGAAGGUGUUCGGAUCGUAAAACUCUGUUAUGAGGGAAGAACAUAUGUGUAAGUAACUGUGCACAUCUUGACGGUACCUAAUCAGAAAGCCACGGCUAACUACGUG